Molecule: ribosomal RNA, 496 nt
Filed under: uncultured bacterium
Lineage: Bacteria
Description: partial 16S ribosomal RNA
Rfam family: Bacterial small subunit ribosomal RNA
Source: RNAcentral
GAUGAACGCUGGCGGCGUGCCUAAUACAUGCAAGUCGAGCGAGCAGACGAGGAGCUUGCUCCUCUGACGUUAGCGGCGGACGGGUGAGUAACACGUGGAUAACCUACCUAUAAGACUGGGAUAACUUCGGGAAACCGGAGCUAAUACCGGAUAAUAUAUUGAACCGCAUGGUUCAAUAGUGAAAGACGGUUUUGCUGUCACUUAUAGAUGGAUCCGCGCCGCAUUAGCUAGUUGGUAAGGUAACGGCUUACCAAGGCAACGAUGCGUAGCCGACCUGGGAGGGUGAUCGGCCACACUGGAACUGAGACACGGUCCAGACUCCUACGGGAGGCAGGAGUAGGGAAUCUUCCGCAAUGGGCGAAAGCCUGACGGAGCAACGCCGCGUGAGUGAUGAAGGUCUUCGGAUCGUAAAACUCUGUUAUUAGGGAAGAACAAAUGUGUAAGUAACUAUGCACGUCUUGACGGUACCUAAUCAGAAAGCCACGGCUAACUACGU